AGGAUUAACGCUGGCGGCGUGCAUGAAACAUGCAAGUCGAGCGCGGUGUGAUGCGGGGUAACCCAAUUCACAUCUAGCGGCGAACGGGUGAGUAACACGUGAGCAACCUACCUUUGAGUUGGGGAUAGCCCUGGGAAACCAGGAUUAAUACCCGAUGUGGUCACAACAGGACAUCCUGAUGUGAGUAAAGGCGUAAGCCGCUCAAUGACGGGCUCGCGGCCUAUUAGCUUGUUGGUGGGGUAACGGCCUACCAAGGCGAUGAUGGGUAGCUGGUCUGAGAGGACGAUCAGCCACACUGGGACUGAGACACGGCCCAGACUCCUACGGGAGGCAGCAGUUAGGAAUUUUCCGCAAUGGGCGAAAGCCUGACGGAGCAACGCCGCGUGAGUGAUGAAGACCUUCGGGUUGUAAGCUCUGUCGGAGGGAAGAACACAAUGACGGUACCUCCAAGAAAGCCCCGGCUAACUACGUGCCAGCAGCCGC
This 483-nucleotide ribosomal RNA is filed under the name uncultured bacterium. RNAcentral's name for it is "SSU rRNA". It matches the Rfam family "Bacterial small subunit ribosomal RNA", at positions 26 to 518 of the family's 1533-position model. The record is from RNAcentral.